RNAcentral lists this microRNA (22 nucleotides) under Bos taurus (domestic cattle). RNAcentral describes it as "bta-miR-11995". Lineage: Eukaryota; Metazoa; Chordata; Mammalia; Artiodactyla; Bovidae. The record is from miRBase by way of RNAcentral.
UUGUCCUACUUCUCAGCUGUCU